Molecule: ribosomal RNA, 600 nt
Filed under: uncultured Clostridium sp.
Lineage: Bacteria; Bacillati; Bacillota; Clostridia; Eubacteriales; Clostridiaceae
Description: bacterial SSU rRNA
Rfam family: Bacterial small subunit ribosomal RNA
Source: RNAcentral
AGAGUUUGAUCCUGGCUCAGGACGAACGCUGGCGGCGUGCCUAACACAUGCAAGUCGAGCGAUGAAGCUUCCUUCGGGAAGUGGAUUAGCGGCGGACGGGUGAGUAACACGUGGGUAACCUGCCUCAAAGUGGGGAAUAGCCUUCCGAAAGGAAGAUUAAUACCGCAUAACGUAAGAGAAUCGCAUGAUUUUCUUACCAAAGAUUUAUCGCUUUGAGAUGGACCCGCGGCGCAUUAGCUAGUUGGUGAGGUAACUGCUCACCAAGGCAACGAUGCGUAGCCGACCUGAGAGGGUGAUCGGCCACAUUGGAACUGAGACACGGUCCAGACUCCUACGGGAGGCAGCAGUGGGGAAUAUUGCGCAAUGGGGGAAACCCUGACGCAGCAACGCCGCGUGAGUGAUGAAGGUCUUCGGAUUGUAAAGCUCUGUUUUCUAGGACGAUAAUGACGGUACUAGAAGAGGAAGCCACGGCUAACUACGUGCCAGCAGCCGCGGUAAUACGUAGGUGGCGAGCGUUGUCCGGAUUUACUGGGCGUAAAGGGUGCGUAGGCGGAUUCUUAAGUGGGAUGUGAAAUACCCGAGCUUAACUUGGGUGCUGCA